UCCGGUAGACAGGUGAAGCGCUAGUACACUCAACAGAAAGGAUACCGUUCGUUUACAGUAUACUAAAAUGAACUAAUAGUAUGUAGUAUACAGUACGUUAGUAUGGGUAUUCGAACACAGCUCAGGUUACAAUUGAUUGAGCAAGUUCCACCAAAGAAGCUCAGAUGUUAGCUGUCAUGGUUGAAAUCCACUCCCAGUUAGACGGGGUCUCCGUCAGCUCCACAAUGCCCUGAGGACGUGAAGGACAUCCAGAACUCCCUGGCAGAAGUCGGCAAUUACUCCAGGCAAGGCAUCAACACCAUUGAGAACCUGAAGGACGUAAAAUAUGCUGUCAGCUAGCCUCAGCCGUGGAGAACCUGGAGAAUAUAUUUUCAGUGCCUGAGAUGGUGGCAGACACUCUGUUAAUGAUAGAGGGCCACCACAAGCUGGUUAACCUGGAGUGCUAGUGGAAUGACCUCAUGUACGAUCAGAGCACUUCCUCCCAGCUGCCCACUGCACUGAGGCUAGGAAACACUAUCACCACCGA
Molecule: long non-coding RNA, 526 nt
Organism: Coregonus clupeaformis (lake whitefish)
Lineage: Eukaryota; Metazoa; Chordata; Actinopteri; Salmoniformes; Salmonidae
Exons: 3
Source: RefSeq, a predicted model, not a curated record